GUGAGAUUGAAGUAAAGGGAUUUUAACAAGGCGAUAUGGCAAGGUCAAAUGACUGACUUUUUCGCGGAUCGACUUUUCACAGACCAACCCUCGCUCUGCAACAGGUUAAGAGGAGCAGUAAAAUUCUCAACCAUCAAAACAAAGAAGGUGGAACACAUGAAGUAGCCAACUUUUUGAAGAUAAGCAGAUAUGCCCUGUGCUUUCUGAGCUGUUCACCAACUCUGUUGACCUGCUGAGAGGACCAAAAGCUCCAGAAGAAUGACUGACAAGGGAGAGACUUCUCCGCCUAUAGAAUAGUCUGGACUAGCUGCAUCGAGUGAGAAAUAGAGGCCAUUCCAGGAGAUUUACAUUCUGUCCCGUUCUUUUUCAGAGGCCUGGUGCUUCAGAAAAGAUUUGAAAGGUGUAAGGCUCCCAUUAGGGAGGCUGCGACAUGAUAAUGGAAAACCUUCUCUCCCUGCCCCCCCUCCUCCCUUUGCUUUUACAAGCCUUGCUUAAGACCUCCAGUUCCCUAGGAAUUUUAUGAAUGCCUAGGAGCAGCCAAAAUAAACUCGUAAAAGAAAAGUUUGGGGGAAAAAAGGUCACAGACCUGUACAGCAAGUGCUAAGCAGGAACUAUUUGAAGGAAGAGAAAAGUGCAGGACUAUAGUGCAAGCUUGUGGCAGACACAUAAAUUUUCUGGCCAAAAAAAUAAAAUAAAAUCCACAAAUGGGCAUUUACAAAAGGGAUUCUCCUCCCACUUCCACCCGUUUAAACAGCCCACCUGGCUUUGCACCAUCGGUAAUGAAGCUUUACCACUAACUAUGAACCAAAGCCGUGUUUGCUUUUCAGCUUCUCCAGGGUAGUAAGGAGGGCUGAGUUUACACAGGCAGAAAAUAAACUUGUUGGAAGGUCAGUAUCUGACAUGGCUCAUAGAAUCCAGCCAGGAGGGCAGCAUUUCUGGAGCUGGUACUUGAAUUAAAAAGCAACCCCAUCAGGUAUUCACACCUGAUCCUAUUAUGGUGGGAGGAGAGGAGAAAUUCUGGCUAUUGUUGAGAAAAAGCUAAUGCCAGUUUAUUGGUUUAUUAAAAGGUCACUGGAAUUGUGGAAUCUGGAAUAGAUUCUGUUGAUGCAAGUUGGGUGAUUGCAUAUCUUGUGAUGCCUGAUCUGGGAUACGAUCGAAGAUACAGAUUGUCAUGAAGCUUUCUAAAAAAGAAAAAUUCUGCAGAUGAUUUCCAAGGUUCUACUGUUUCUGCCACUCAAGCAAAGCCAUGGAUUUUUAAACCAGUGCCUUAAUAAAAUUUUAAAAUUAAGAAGCAGAACGGGAAAAAAAGCAUAAGAAGCCUCCAUCCCCCCCCCUUAAAACGAUAAAACACUUUCCCAAAUCAUCCCCCAAACAUUUCACACUCUAGAAAUGACAACAAGACCAGCCACAGUCUAUAUACAGGAUAAUAAUUCUGCUAUUGUUCACAUGAUUGUUUAUGCCGGCAGAAAAGAGCGCUAAGUCAAGAAUCGCUGCCUUUGCUUCGGAAGUAUUGGCUCUUGUUCAAGCCUCCAGUUUAGCCCUGAAUGCAUCAGCAUAAAUGAUUGUAUAAACAGGACUGCGUUAACACUUGCCAGUGAGCCUUCUGCCAAGUGUUAAUUUGCAGCCUCAGUGAAGACGCCUACUGCUGAUGCCUCUUACCACAAACCAAAGGGCUUUAUAGAACUUAUUGCUGCUUGGUAAGUGGAUGGGUGGAUGGAUGUGCCUGCCCCUUUUCCUCUUCUCUUCCUUGGCCUGUGUGUUAUACAUGGACAAUGUCAGACGUCGGCCUCACGGAAUGUCUCACAAGGCCCCUAGAAUGUCUGCCUAGGGACUCAUAGCCAGCAUGCACAGCCAGGGGGCAUGUAUUUCUUGCUAUCACUGUGGCUUCCCUGCUCUGACCUGAGCAUAUAGGCUACAGCAAGUAGGCGGAAGGAGAAAGACAUUAUGGCUUAAGGAAAAGAAGGGGGCUUACUGACAAUUUGCCCAAGAGUACCCCAAAGUCUGAGCUGGGUUGUGUUGAUUGAUGUAGCCUGUUAAGUCAGGCACUGCACAAAAUGCCAUGGAUGUCCAUGGUGUCCCAUGGAAGGAGGACAACAAGACUCCCUUGAGCACACUCAUGGGCAAAUUGCUGAACAUCCCCUCUUCAUCACUUGAAACUGAGUCAGUUUCAAUGCAGUAUACUGUAAUGGUAUGUGGGAAGGACCUUGGGAGACAGGGCGAAGAGAUGCUGCCUAGGGAACGGUCAGAUAAGAGACAGCAUAGCCCACAGAUGAAUAGUAGGUGGGGCAAGAGGCUCAGAAGAGAUCCUCACUAGUUUCUGAGGCUAUAAAUGAGAUGUGGGGGGAGGGGGGAGAAAUGUACUUUCAGACUUGCAAGACACUGUCAAUAUAGUUUUACAAUAAAAUAGAAUUAUCUCAUCUAGUUAUGACUCCUAUCUGGUUUAUCCCAUGAGGUUGGCAGAUAUGCAUGACCUGUAUCUCUGGGUUGACUCCUCCCACUGGAUAAUAUAGUUUACCAAGACAGCUUCUGGAGUCACUGAGGACCAGUAUGUUGAGGCUGCAGAAAUCUAGAGGAUGGGAAGUGUCAGCCUUGUACCUGUCUGGCAUCUAUGCAAAAAUACACGUGCAGCAGUAUACAUGUCAACCCUACCAAUGUCUCGUGUUCAUUCUUGUUUGCAGGGAACACUGCAGUGCUGGUUGAGCUCGUAUAUUUAUUAACCCACCCUCAACUAUUGCAAGACGUUCAUGGUGCCAUAUCUAGUUCAUCCUCUGACUAUAUUCAUAGUCACUCAGAGAAUAGUGCAGUUGGCCCAAACUUCUCCAAUGUUUUUCACGGGUAAAUCAAGAUUUCAAACUGGGUCACAACACUUUAGAGUA
This is a long non-coding RNA of Python bivittatus (Burmese python), 2876 nucleotides long. RefSeq lists it as uncharacterized. Lineage: Eukaryota; Metazoa; Chordata; Lepidosauria; Squamata; Pythonidae. The record is from RefSeq and is a predicted model, not a curated record.